UCUAAGGAUGAGUGAAAGUAAAAUUUCACUCUAAAUAAUAUACAUCGGUAAUGUUGACCGUCCUCAUUUCUCUUCUUAAAGUAAUGUUUCCUUCUUGUAGGGCCGGUAGCUCAGUUGGUUAGAGCACACCCUUGAUAAGGGUGGGGUCGAAAGUUCGAGUCUUUCUCGGCCCACCAUACUUAACUGGGGGAUUAGCUCAGCUGGGAGAGCGCCUGAUUUGCAUUCAGGAGGUCAGCGGUUCGAUCCCGCUAUCCUCCACCAGGAAACAUUUAGUUAUUAAAACUGUAAAUAAAAAUAAUUUAUAUCAAUAUCUAUAUCCGAACAUUAAAAGUUAUUAUUUAAUGUUCAAAAUAAAAAUUUGAUCACAACAUAGAUAAAUUUUCUGUUAAAAGAAUUUUUUUCUGUGCAUA
This 410-nucleotide transfer RNA is filed under the name Candidatus Pelagibacter communis. Its description in RNAcentral is "Candidatus Pelagibacter ubique 16S-23S intergenic spacer". The stretch from base 100 to 173 matches the Rfam family "tRNA". The record is from RNAcentral. Lineage: Bacteria; Pseudomonadati; Pseudomonadota; Alphaproteobacteria; Candidatus Pelagibacterales; Candidatus Pelagibacteraceae.